Molecule: ribosomal RNA, 514 nt
Filed under: Vibrio harveyi
Lineage: Bacteria; Pseudomonadati; Pseudomonadota; Gammaproteobacteria; Vibrionales; Vibrionaceae
Also listed under: 3 other names
Description: bacterial SSU rRNA
Rfam family: Bacterial small subunit ribosomal RNA
Source: RNAcentral
AUGGGCGCAAGCCUGAUGCAGCCAUGCCGCGUGUGUGAAGAAGGCCUUCGGGUUGUAAAGCACUUUCAGUCGUGAGGAAGGUAGUGUAGUUAAUAGCUGCAUUAUUUGACGUUAGCGACAGAAGAAGCACCGGCUAACUCCGUGCCAGCAGCCGCGGUAAUACGGAGGGUGCGAGCGUUAAUCGGAAUUACUGGGCGUAAAGCGCAUGCAGGUGGUUUGUUAAGUCAGAUGUGAAAGCCCGGGGCUCAACCUCGGAAUUGCAUUUGAAACUGGCAGACUAGAGUACUGUAGAGGGGGGUAGAAUUUCAGGUGUAGCGGUGAAAUGCGUAGAGAUCUGAAGGAAUACCGGUGGCGAAGGCGGCCCCCUGGACAGAUACUGACACUCAGAUGCGAAAGCGUGGGGAGCAAACAGGAUUAGAUACCCUGGUAGUCCACGCCGUAAACGAUGUCUACUUGGAGGUUGUGGCCUUGAGCCGUGGCUUUCGGAGCUAACGCGUUAAGUAGACCGCCUGGG